This 562-nucleotide ribosomal RNA is filed under the name Harkeria angustivalva. RNAcentral describes it as "partial 28S ribosomal RNA". The record is from RNAcentral. Lineage: Eukaryota; Metazoa; Arthropoda; Insecta; Hymenoptera; Braconidae.
CCCAAAAGAUCGAAUGAAAAGAUUCAUCGUCAAUAUGUUUAAUAUAUAUAAAUAUUAUGAUGUAAAUUUUUUUUUUGGCUUUAUUGUUGAUUUAAAAAUUUAUACAUAUAUUUAUUAUUUUAUUGUUUUACAUUGUCGGCGUGCACUUCUUUUCUAGUAGGACAUCGCGACCCGUUGGGUAUUGAUCUACGGCCAAAUUGGGUAGCCUUUAAUCGUUAAAACAUUAAAGACCAAUUUGUGUUUUCCUGAUCAAUUGCCCGGCGGUAUUCGUAUGGUAUUGAGUCGCAUUGAUUAUAAUUUGCGUCCUCCACCCGUCACAAGCCAGGCCAGUUAAUAAUUUUUAUAUUUAUAUAUUAAUUAUUUUGCUUAGUAGUGCGGACCUAGUGCCGUCAUUAAGCCUGUCCAGCUGUUGGUUUUUUUAGUACGGUGUUCUGGGACUGACUUUAAAUAUAAUAAUACCGGUCGGCGAUGCUACUGCUUUGGGUACUUUCAGGACCCGUCUUGAAACACGGACCAAGGAGUCUAACAUGUACGCAAGUCAUUGGGAUUUUUUUAAUUAAAA